Molecule: ribosomal RNA, 377 nt
Filed under: Enterococcus casseliflavus
Lineage: Bacteria; Bacillati; Bacillota; Bacilli; Lactobacillales; Enterococcaceae
Description: bacterial SSU rRNA
Rfam family: Bacterial small subunit ribosomal RNA
Source: RNAcentral
UGGCGAACGGGUGAGUAACACUUGGGUAACCUGCCCAUCAGAAGGGGAUAACACUUGGAAACAGGUGCUAAUACCGUAUAACACUAUUUUCCGCAUGGAAGAAAGUUGAAAGGCGCUUCUGCGUCACUGAUGGAUGGACCCGCGGUGCAUUAGCUAGUUGGUGAGGUAACGGCUCACCAAGGCAACGAUGCAUAGCCGACCUGAGAGGGUGAUCGGCCACACUGGGAUGAGACACGGCCCAGACUCCUACGGGAGGCAGCAGUAGGGAAUCUUCGGCAAUGGACGAAAGUCUGACCGAGCAACGCCGCGUGAGUGAAGAAGGUUUUCGGAUCGUAAAACUCUGUUGUUAUGAGAAGAACAAGGAUGACGAGGUAAAA